GCCGGGUGUGGUAGCACAUGCCUAUAAUCCCAGAGACUUAGGAGGCUGAGGCAGGGGGAUUGAAAGUUUGAGGCCAGAAUGAGCAACUUAGCAAGGCUUUAAGCAACUUAGUGAGACCCUGUUUCUA
Molecule: small RNA, 127 nt
Filed under: Marmota monax (woodchuck)
Lineage: Eukaryota; Metazoa; Chordata; Mammalia; Rodentia; Sciuridae
Source: RNAcentral